UCUCAUCAUUGUCAUCAUCCCUGUUGUUCUCCUUCUUGUAACCAUCGUCUGUGCGGCUGGAUUCUGCCUGUAUAAGAAGAGAAAUGCGGUAAACGACCCGGCUGUGCAACAAAUGAUGCUUCCAAAUCAAAAUACCUGAAAGACAAAGAGAGGACCCUGAACCCAGUUUACGGGUACGUUCUGCACUGAAACAAGGAGCAGACCGACACGCUCUCCUCAGAAUUCAUUGGCUCUCAUCGUAUCAGACAUGAAGUGAUCAGAGUUGGGAAUUUAAAUUUAAAUCUUUGAAAUACAAAGAAAACGAGUUUGAAAAAGAGUUGACAAAUACUUUACAAAUCUUCUUUAGGGUUGUUUGGUGACGUUAGUUUAAAUAUAAAAAGCUUUUCCGCUGAUAAAAGACGCUUAAAUACAUUUAAAUGAAAACUUGAUGAUUUAUUUUUCGUCACCUGGAGAGAAGAGAAUCAGAAGAUGAAUCUAUGACGGCAUCACGCCGCUCUUCAUGUGUUGAAGAAAGAUUUGUGUGUUGAUCUAAAAUCCAUCAUAGUUGGAUUUUUAUACUUCUGGUGUUCAGAGCUUUGUGCUAAAACAAAUGUUGGUGAUAAAUACGUUAAUAAAGACACACACACACACACACACACACACACACACACACACACA
Molecule: non-coding RNA, 657 nt
Organism: Labrus bergylta (ballan wrasse)
Lineage: Eukaryota; Metazoa; Chordata; Actinopteri; Labriformes; Labridae
Source: RefSeq, a predicted model, not a curated record